UAAGAGGUCGCAGGACAACUGAGAAUCUUU
RNAcentral lists this non-coding RNA (30 nucleotides) under Mus musculus (house mouse). Lineage: Eukaryota; Metazoa; Chordata; Mammalia; Rodentia; Muridae. The record is from RNAcentral.